Molecule: ribosomal RNA, 281 nt
Filed under: uncultured Glomus
Lineage: Eukaryota; Fungi; Glomeromycota; Glomeromycetes; Glomerales; Glomeraceae
Description: partial 18S small subunit ribosomal RNA
Rfam family: Eukaryotic small subunit ribosomal RNA
Source: RNAcentral
CCAAUAGCGUAUAUUAAAGUUGUUGCAGUUAAAAAGCUCGUAGUUGAAUUUCGGGGUUAGUAGGUUGGUCAUGCCUCUGGUAUGUACUGGUCUCACUGAUUCCUCCUUCCUGAUGAACCGUAAUGCCAUUAAUUUGGUGUUGCGGGGAAUUUGGACUGUUACUUUGAAAAAAUUAGAGUGUUUAAAGCAGGCUCGCGCUUGAAUACAUUAGCAUGGAAUAAUGAAAUAGGACGUUUGAUUCUAUUUUGUUGGUUUCUAGGAUCAACGUAAUGAUUAAUAGG